AGCAAACAGGGAUUACCUCAGUAACGGCGAGUGAAGCGGUAACAGCUCAAAUUUGAAAUCUGGCCCUUUUAGGGUCCGAGUUGUAAUUUGUAGAAGAUGCUUUGGGUGUGGCUCCGGUCUAAGUUCCUUGGAACAGGACGUCAUGGAGGGUGAGAAUCCCGUAUGUGACUGGCGGCCUUCGCCCGUGUAAAGCUCUUUCGACGAGUCGAGUUGUUUGGGAAUGCAGCUCUAAAUGGGAGGUAUAUUUCUUCUAAAGCUAAAUACGGGCCAGAGACCGAUAGCGCACAAGUAGAGUGAUCGAAAGAUGAAAAGCACUUUGGAAAGAGAGUUAAACAGUACGUGAAAUUGUUGAAAGGGAAGCGCUUGCAACCAGACUUGCGUGCCGUCGAUCAUCGUGGGUUCUCCCGCGUGCACUCGGCGGCGUUCAGGCCAGCAUCGGUUCCGGUGGUUGGAUAAAGGCCUUGGGAAUGUGACUCCUCUCGGGGAGUGUUAUAGCCCUCGGUGCAAUGCAGCCUACUGGGACCGAGGACCGCGCUUCGGCUAGGAUGCUGGCGUAAUGGUUGUAAGCGACCCGUCUUGAAACACGGACCAAGGAGUCUAACAUCUAUGCGAGUGUUAGGGUGUUAAACCCUUCCGCGAAAUUAACGUGAACGGAGGUACGAACCCUUUAGGGCGCAGUAUCGACCGGUCCUGAUGUCUUCGGAUGGAUCUGAGUAAGAGCAUAGCUGUUGGGACCCGAAAGAUGGUGAACUAUGCCUGAAUAGGGUGAAGCCAGAGGAAACUCUGGUGGAGGCUCGCAGCGGUUCUGACGUGCAAAUCGAUCGUCAAAUUAGGGCAUAGGGGCGAAAGACUAAUCGAACCAUUGGAAACCUAACUACUAGGUGGUUAAGAGA
This 893-nucleotide ribosomal RNA is filed under the name Dicephalospora rufocornea. Its description in RNAcentral is "partial large subunit ribosomal RNA". It matches the Rfam family "Eukaryotic large subunit ribosomal RNA", at positions 63 to 977 of the family's 3401-position model. The record is from RNAcentral. Lineage: Eukaryota; Fungi; Ascomycota; Leotiomycetes; Helotiales; Helotiaceae.